Molecule: unclassified non-coding RNA, 385 nt
Filed under: soil metagenome
Description: partial contains 5.8S ribosomal RNA, internal transcribed spacer 2, and large subunit ribosomal RNA
Rfam family: 5.8S ribosomal RNA (bases 1-120)
Source: RNAcentral
GAUGAAGAACGUAGCGAAAUGCGAUAAGUAAUGUGAAUUGCAGAAUUCAGUGAAUCAUCGAAUCUUUGAACGCACCUUGCACCCUUUGGCAUUCCGAAGGGUAUGCUCGUUUGAGUGUCAUUGUACUCUCACACUCUCCGAUCCUAUGGAUUCGGGGAGCGGUGGACUUGGGUGUUGCUGCCUUUCCUUGUGGCUCACCUCAAAUGUGUCAGUGCACCUCUUGGUUGGACAUAGUACGGCGUGAUAAGUGUCUUCGCCGGCACCUCGCAAGAGGGUGGCCGAUCGGGAGCUCUGUGCUUUCAAACCGUCUUCGGACAAUUUCUGACAACUUGACCUCAAAUCGAGUAGGACUACCCGCUGAACUUAAGCAUAUCUAAGCGGAGGA